UCAUAUGCUUGUCUCAAAGAUUAAGCCAUGCAUGUCUAAGUAUAAGCAAUCUAUACAGUGAAACUGCGAAUGGCUCAUUAAAUCAGUUAUCGUUUAUUUGAUAGUACCUUACUACUUGGAUAACCGUGGUAAUUCUAGAGCUAAUACAUGCUAAAAACCUCGACUUCGGAAGGGGUGUAUUUAUUAGAUAAAAAACCAAUGCCCUUCGGGGCUCCUUGGUGAUUCAUGAUAACUUAACGAAUCGCAUGGCCUUGUGCCGGCGAUGGUUCAUUCAAAUUUCUGCCCUAUCAACUUUCGAUGGUAGGAUAGUGGCCUACCAUGGUUUCAACGGGUAACGGGGAAUUAGGGUUCUAUUCCGGAGAGGGAGCCUGAGAAACGGCUACCACAUCCAAGGAAGGCAGCAGGCGCGCAAAUUACCCAAUCCCGACACGGGGAGGUAGUGACAAUAAAUACUGAUACAGGGCUCUUUUGGGUCUUGUAAUUGGAAUGAGUACAAUUUAAAUCCCUUAACGAGGAACAAUUGGAGGGCAAGUCUGGUGCCAGCAGCCGCGGUAAUUCCAGCUCCAAUAGCGUAUAUUAAAGUUGUUGCAGUUAAAAAGCUCGUAGUUGAACCUUGGGCCUGGCUGGCCGGUCCGCCUCACCGCGUGCACUGGUCCGGCCGGGCCUUUCCUCCUGGGGAGCCGCAUGCCCUUCACUGGGUGUGUCGGGGAACCAGGACUUUUACUUUGAAAAAAUUAGAGUGUUCAAAGCAGGCCUAUGCUCGAAUACAUUAGCAUGGAAUAAUAGAAUAGGACGUGUGGUUCUAUUUUGUUGGUUUCUAGGACCGCCGUAAUGAUUAAUAGGGAUAGUCGGGGGCAUCAGUAUUCAAUUGUCAGAGGUGAAAUUCUUGGAUUUAUUGAAGACUAACUACUGCGAAAGCAUUUGCCAAGGAUGUUUUCAUUAAUCAGUGAACGAAAGUUAGGGGAUCGAAGACGAUCAGAUACCGUCGUAGUCUUAACCAUAAACUAUGCCGACUAGGGAUCGGGCGAUGUUAUCUUUUUGACUCGCUCGGCACCUUACGAGAAAUCAAAGUUUUUGGGUUCUGGGGGGAGUAGUGUCGCAAG
Molecule: ribosomal RNA, 1103 nt
Filed under: Pseudeurotium hygrophilum
Lineage: Eukaryota; Fungi; Ascomycota; Leotiomycetes; Thelebolales; Pseudeurotiaceae
Description: SSU rRNA
Rfam family: Eukaryotic small subunit ribosomal RNA
Source: RNAcentral